UGCAUAUCCAAAAAGCGGAGGAAAAGAAACCAACAGGGAUUGCCUCAGUAACGGCGAGUGAAGCGGCAACAGCUCAAAUUUGAAAUCUGGCCUCUUGGGGUCCGAGUUGUAAUUUGUAGAGGAUGUUUCGGGUACCGCCUCGGUUUAAAUUUCUUGGAACAGAAUGUCAAAGAGGGUGAGAAUCCCGUCUUGGACCGGCGGUAGGGCCUAUGUGAAACUCCUUCGACGAGUCGAGUUGUUUGGGAAUGCAGCUCAAAAUGGGUGGUAAAUUUCAUCUAAAGCUAAAUAUUGGCCAGAGACCGAUAGCGCACAAGUAGAGUGAUCGAAAGAUGAAAAGCACUUUGAAAAGAGAGUUAAACAGUAUGUGAAAUUGUUGAAAGGGAAGCGCUUGCAACCAGACUUGAGCGCGGCGGUUCCCCCUUGCUUCUGCUUGGGUUACUCCGCCGCGUCCAGGCCAACAUCGGUUCUGGGGGUCGGUCAAAGGCUCUGGGAAUGUAUCUACCCACGGGUAGACUUAUAGACCAGGGUGUCAUGCGACCUCCCGGGACCGAGGAACGCGCUUCGGCUCGGAUGUUGGCGUAAUGGUUGUCAGCGACCCGUCUUGAAACCACGGACCCA
RNAcentral lists this ribosomal RNA (618 nucleotides) under Fonsecaea nubica. RNAcentral's name for it is "partial large subunit ribosomal RNA". It matches the Rfam family "Eukaryotic large subunit ribosomal RNA", at positions 37 to 669 of the family's 3401-position model. Lineage: Eukaryota; Fungi; Ascomycota; Eurotiomycetes; Chaetothyriales; Herpotrichiellaceae. The record is from RNAcentral.